AGCAGUAGCCGCGGGAAAACGUAGGGUGCAAGCGUUAAUCGGAAUUACUGGGCGUAAAGCGUGCGCAGGCGGUUAUAUAAGACAGAUGUGAAAUCCCCGGGCUCAACCUGGGAACUGCAUUUGUGACUGUAUAGCUAGAGUACGGCAGAGGGGGAUGGAAUUCCGCGUGUAGCAGUGAAAUGCGUAGAUAUGCGGAGGAACACCGAUGGCGAAGGCAAUCCCCUGGGCCUGUACUGACGCUCAUGCACGAAAGCGUGGGGAGCAAACAGGAUUAGAUACCCCCGUAGUCCCUGUCUCUUAUAC
Molecule: ribosomal RNA, 303 nt
Filed under: uncultured bacterium
Lineage: Bacteria
Description: partial 16S ribosomal RNA
Rfam family: Bacterial small subunit ribosomal RNA
Source: RNAcentral